Molecule: ribosomal RNA, 454 nt
Filed under: rape rhizosphere bacterium m9050
Lineage: Bacteria
Description: bacterial SSU rRNA
Rfam family: Bacterial small subunit ribosomal RNA
Source: RNAcentral
GAUUGAACGCUAGCGGGAUGCCUUACACAUGCAAGUCGAACGGCAGCACGGACUUCGGUCUGGUGGCGAGUGGCGAACGGGUGAGUAAUGUAUCGGAACGUGCCUAGUAGCGGGGGAUAACUACGCGAAAGCGUAGCUAAUACCGCAUACCCCUACGGGGGAAAGCAGGGGAUCGCAAGACCUUGCACUAUUAGAGCGGCCGAUAUCGGAUUAGCUAGUUGGUGGGGUAACGGCUCACCAAGGCGACGAUCCGUAGCUGGUUUGAGAGGACGACCAGCCACACUGGGACUGAGACACGGCCCAGACUCCUACGGGAGGCAGCAGUGGGGAAUUUUGGACAAUGGGGGAAACCCUGAUCCAGCCAUCCCGCGUGUGCGAUGAAGGCCUUCGGGUUGUAAAGCACUUUUGGCAGGAAAGAAACGUCAUGGGCUAAUACCCCGUGAAACUGACGGUA